UACGGAGGGUGCAAGCGUUAUCCGGAUUUACUGGGUUUAAAGGGUGCGUAGGUGGGUUGGUAAGUCAGUGGUGAAAUCCCCGAGCUUAACUUGGGAACUGCCAUUGAUACUAUCAGUCUUGAAUACCGUGGAGGUCAGUGGAAUAUGUCAUGUAGCGGUGAAAUGCUUAGAUAUGACAUAGAACACCAAUUGCGAAGGCAGCUGGCUACACGAAUAUUGACACUGAGGCACGAAAGCGUGGGGAUCAAACAGG
RNAcentral lists this ribosomal RNA (253 nucleotides) under uncultured bacterium. Its description in RNAcentral is "partial 16S ribosomal RNA". It matches the Rfam family "Bacterial small subunit ribosomal RNA", at positions 524 to 776 of the family's 1533-position model. The record is from RNAcentral.